UAGGCUAGCUGGAUGAUCGCUCUUAAUUUAAGAGAGGAAAGUCCGAACUCCGCAGGAUAGGGUGCCUCCUAACGGGAGGACUCAUUAAGAGAUGGAAAGUGCAACAGAAAGUAAACCGCCUUUUUAAGGUAAGGGUGAAACGGUAGUGUAAGAGACUACCAGAAAGGCUUGAGAAAGCUUUUGCUAUGCAAACCCCACCUGGAGAAAGAUCAAAUAACUUUGUGUUAUCCGCACAUAAAAGUGGGUAGAUCGCUCGAGCCUAUUAGUGAUAAUAGGCCUAGAUGAAUGGUCAUCGUUCAGUUUACUGAAUACAGAAUUCGGCUUAUAGGCUAGCCUUAUAU
RNAcentral lists this RNase P RNA (341 nucleotides) under Fidelibacterota bacterium. RNAcentral's name for it is "RNase P RNA component class A". It matches the Rfam family "Bacterial RNase P class A". From Rfam's summary of the family: Ribonuclease P (RNase P) is a ubiquitous endoribonuclease, found in archaea, bacteria and eukarya as well as chloroplasts and mitochondria. The record is from RNAcentral. Lineage: Bacteria; Pseudomonadati; Fidelibacterota.